This 823-nucleotide long non-coding RNA is filed under the name Hordeum vulgare. RNAcentral's name for it is "long non-coding RNA (HVUL_LNC013625)". The record is from RNAcentral. Lineage: Eukaryota; Viridiplantae; Streptophyta; Magnoliopsida; Poales; Poaceae.
GUAGUGAACUUUUUAAAGAUUUAUAUUUAAGAAUGAAGGAAGUACAACAAAUGUAUUGUGAAAACCACCACAAUGAAGCGUGGCUCUGUAGAAAAAACUCUUUUACGAAAUCUUUACGCACAGCAUUGAUUUUUGUCCUAAUCAUUUGAAAAAAACACAAAACCUUCUGUUCGUCCCAGUUAACCUCCAUUAUGACAUGUGGGUCCCGUUUUCUGACGACCUGACGUAACGGCUCGAGCUCACGCCGUCUCAUGGCGCUACAGUGGCAACACACGACGCGGCGCGGUCAAACCCGCAUCGAAACCGCAUCUGGGCUCACUCUCUCGCAUCUCGCUCACUCUCUGUGUUGUUCCCACUCUCUUUUCUUCUCUCGAGCCGCCGCCGCUGGUCACCGUUCUGCUGCUCCGCCCCGCCAGUCGUGCCAUGUCCGUCGUCCGUGCCGUCCGCGAACCGCCAUGGAGUAUGAGGAGGAAAGCAGUGACGACAACAGAGGGGACUACUCCGGCAUGCUCUGCGAAAACAGCCAGGACGACGACAAGUACGAGGCCAGUGCUCACAAUUAGGGUUAGUGUUCUAGCCUAUUUGAAUUGGGGAUUUAGGGUUAGGGUUCUAGCCUGCUGCAUUUGGGGAUUUAGGGUUCGGAUUAGGGUUCUAGCCUGCUGGAUUUGGGUUUGGGGAUUUAGUGUUUCUCAUUUGUGAAUUUUGCUCGCUUUAGAUCCCUGCUAGCAUUGAAGACGAGGAUUACAAAGGCCUUGAGUUGGAGCCGGAAGCAUGGCAAAGCAUGAGAGAGACUAGGCUAGCUCGGCCGGUUUGACGUAAGAGG